GGAAUAUUGGACAAUGGGUGAGAGCCUGAUCCAGCCAUCCCGCGUGAAGGAUGACGGUCCUAUGGAUUGUAAACUUCUUUUGUACAGGAAUAAACCUAGAUACGUGUAUUUAGCUGAAGGUACUGUACGAAUAAGCACCGGCUAACUCCGUGCCAGCAGCCGCGGUAAUACGGAGGGUGCAAGCGUUAUCCGGAUUUAUUGGGUUUAAAGGGUCCGUAGGCGGACCGAUAAGUCAGUGGUGAAAUCUCAUAGCUCAACUAUGAAACUGCCAUUGAUACUGUCGGUCUUGAGUAAAUUUGAAGUGGCUGGAAUAAGUAGUGUAGCGGUGAAAUGCAUAGAUAUUACUUAGAACACCAAUUGCGAAGGCAGGUCACUAAGAUUUAACUGACGCUGAGGGACGAAAGCGUGGGUAGCGAACAGGAUUAGAUACCCGUG
RNAcentral lists this ribosomal RNA (435 nucleotides) under uncultured Chryseobacterium sp. RNAcentral's name for it is "bacterial SSU rRNA". It matches the Rfam family "Bacterial small subunit ribosomal RNA", at positions 358 to 790 of the family's 1533-position model. The record is from RNAcentral. Lineage: Bacteria; Pseudomonadati; Bacteroidota; Flavobacteriia; Flavobacteriales; Weeksellaceae.